This 426-nucleotide ribosomal RNA is filed under the name uncultured bacterium. RNAcentral's name for it is "bacterial SSU rRNA". It matches the Rfam family "Bacterial small subunit ribosomal RNA", at positions 356 to 773 of the family's 1533-position model. The record is from RNAcentral.
CGGGAAUCUUCCGCAAUGGACGAAAGUCUGACGGAGCGACGCCGCGUGAGCGAAGAAGGUCUUCGGAUCGUAAAGCUCUGUUGUUAGGGAAGAAGAAGCGCCGUUCGAACAGGGCGGCGCGGUGACGGUACCUAACGAGAAAGCCCCGGCUAACUACGUGCCAGCAGCCGCGGUAAUACGUAGGGGGCGAGCGUUGUCCGGAAUUAUUGGGCGUAAAGCGCGCGCAGGCGGUCCCUUAAGUCUGAUGUGAAAGCCCACGGCUUAACCGUGGAGGGUCAUUGGAAACUGGGGGACUUGAGUGCAGAAGAGGAGAGCGGAAUUCCACGUGUAGCGGUGAAAUGCGUAGAGAUGUGGAGGAACACCAGUGGCGAAGGCGGCUCUCUGGUCUGUAACUGACGCUGAGGCGCGAAAGCGUGGGGAGCAAAC